RNAcentral lists this long non-coding RNA (3581 nucleotides) under Homo sapiens (human). RNAcentral describes it as "non-protein coding lnc-FAM90A1-1:4". Lineage: Eukaryota; Metazoa; Chordata; Mammalia; Primates; Hominidae. The record is from RNAcentral.
GUUUGGAUAUAUAUUCCUCCCUGGGUCUGCCCCAUUUUAUGGGGUGUUGCUUAAUCAUUUGCAUUCUUCCAUUGACAUAAAAUAUUUAGCACUCAGAGAUCAUUUCUGGUCAGGAGAAAUUUGUGCAUUUUUAAUCCAAAAUAGAAACCUUCAUAAAAGCAUCAUAGGUCUCCAUUCAAUAUUGACUAUAAUUGUUCACAUGCCCACGCUGAAUGCUAACUUGGGCUCACCCUCAACACCCACGAGGUGGGUACUAUUAUUAUCACUCACAUUUGACCAGAGGGAUUGUUUGAUUAGGGUGAAGUAGUUGAGAGUUCAGACCCAGGAGACAGCCUGCCUGCUUCGAAUCCUGGCCCAACCCCUUGCCCUGUGUGACCUUGGGCAAGUGACUGCAUCUCUCUGUGCUAUUGUUUUCUUAUUAAUGGGGGAUAUAAUGAUACCUACCUCUUAGGGUUGUUGUCAGCGUUGAGUACAAAAGCCUGUGGAUCAGUGCCUGGCUCAUGGUAAAUGCAUGUCGGUGUUAGCUAGUGUUUUAUUCAGUCUCAAAAUGUUUAAUAAAUGCCUUCCGUGAGCCAGGCACCAUGGAUCAGCAGUACCCAUGAUAGAUGAGGCUCUGCUUGCAUGGGAGAGCCAGAGAAUAAACAGAUAAAUGAAUAAACAAGAAAAGACCAGAUGAGAGUGGCUUUAAAGCCAAUAAAACAGGGAAAUGGUGAAUGGAGCAACUGGGGAGAAGAGUCACCAAAGUCAGGGAAUCAUGGAAGCUUUCCCCAAAGAGGUGGCAUUUGAACUGGGGCCUGAGUGGUGAAGCAGCCAGCCAUGGGAAGGGUUUGGGGAACAGGAUAUGCAAAGGCCCUGUGGUGGAAACAAGCCAGCUGUGGUUGAGGAACAACAGCAAGGCAGCCAGUGUGGCUGGAGUGGAGUGAGCAGGGUGGGCCAGGGGUGAGGGAGAACAGGCCAGAGAGAGGGAUUAGCACCAGGUCUUGUAGGGCUUUUUAUGGCAUAGAAGGAGCUCUGAAGCAAUGAAGUGCCUUGCCGUGUGCCACAUGCCAGCCGAGACAGUCUGCCUAACUCGGGAGCCAAAGUUCGCUGCUGGGCUUGAGGCCCCUAUAAGAGGACAAUGUAACCCAGGCUGGUAUGGGCACAUUCUGCAUUUCCACUUAAACUCAGAUGGCAAGCCCAUCAAACCUUGGUGCCAUGGCUGCCCUGGUAAUUCCUGGCUGACCAGUGCAACCAGGGAGCUGGCCCAUGACCUGGGUGGCAGCUGAGUAGCCAGGACUCAUGCGGCCAAGAGUCAGCCUUCUUCCUGUGACUCAUCCAGGUGCACCCUGCGACAUCUGAAGGUCAGGCUUUCAGCCGCUGUGGCUUCCACUUCCAACUGGCUCCACGUCCCCAGGGAGGGAUCACAUAGAGCUUUGCCAACACAUUCUAUUGCGUGUUUUAAUGUUCCUGUGAAUGCGCCCUUGAGAUUUCUCCCUCCCCCGUCCACACUGAGCUUAGAAGCAAAGUUAAGAGACUCAUCAGAUUCUGAGCUGCUGCGGGAUAUUUUGCAGAAGACUGUGAAGCAUCCUGUGUGUGUGUGAAGCACCCGCCGUCAGUCAAGUAUGCCCGGUGCUUUCUCUCAGAACUCAUCAAAAAGGUCAGUUAUGGGCAGUGUCCGCCCAGUAGCCGGACAGCAUAGCCACCUGCGUGCUGGAGCCCCCGUCCUUCCCAGGCCCUGGGCCUGCUUUGCAAACCCCAGCAUGGCAGGGGCCUCCGCAGGCAACUGGCUGCAGCUGAGUGUGACCCAUGGGAGACAGUGCAGGGUGGGAAGAAGGGGAGGCCAGCGUCUCUCCCUCACUCUGCCUCCUGGGGUUUCCACAGCAGCUGCUUCUCUGGGGCCCCAUCUCCUAGCAUAUGAAUUCUCAUUCCUACCAGGCUGGUCCAGCCCACAACACUGGAACCCUCACUCACACCCUCUGUCCUGCCCGCCGAAGGGUUUGGAGUUUCCUGCUCUUGUCCGUCUCUGGGUUGCCCCACGGGCCCCUGUUGGAAGAUUUAGCUCUUGCCAUACCUUUGGAACUAGUUCCUCUGGUGAAUUCUCUUCAUUGAUCCUGCUGGAAUGAGCUCUUUCCUGACUGCUAUAGGAUGGAUUUUAUUUUUUACUUGUUUAUUUACUUUUUUGAGACAGUCUCACUGUGGUGCCCAGGCUGGAUUACCGUGGCACAAUCUCGGCUCCCUGAAAUCUCUGCCUCCUGGGUUCAAGCAAUUCUCGUGCCUAGCCUUCUAAGAAGCUGGGACUACAGGCACACGCCACCAUGCCUGGCUAAUUUUUGUAUUUUUAGUAGAAACAGAGUUUCACCAUGUUGGCCAGGCUGGUCUCGAACUCCUGACCUCAGGUGAUCCGCCUGCCUCGGCCUCCCAAAGUGCUGGGAUUACAGGCAUGAGCCACUGCACCUGGCCUAGGAUGGAUUUUAAAGAUGGGCCUGAACAUGCAGGGUUUGACAGGAGGAUGUCGAGAAGCCGUUCCUUAGUAGGCAGUAGCAGACCUGCUGAGUGAAAGGGCCACACUUUUAGCAAAUAAACAAUCCCCUGCUUCUCCAAUACCUGCUUUCUCCCUAGUCCUCCCCAAAAGGGUGCAUCUGUGGUUGCCAGCCGGUCUGCCCUGUGCCACCACGAGAGGGCAGCAGUCACCCAGUGUACCCUGCUGCUGCCUUGUGAAUCCUAGGACGGGGCCAGCUGUGGAGAAGCAGCCUGCUGACAGCCACAGCCUGCAGCAUGGGCCGCCCUCACAGUUCUGCCUGGGCUCACUUAAAAGCACCUUUUGUUUUCCUCCUCUCUGUGUUUGAUCCAAACACAGAGCUCUCUGUCAUGGUCAUGUGGCAGCUCUCACGGAAUCCUUGUCUCCUGCCCUAGACUACACCUAACCCUCCCCUCUCAACACCUCUUGUUGAAGGCCCUCCCGUCCAGGUUUCCCUACGAAGUGGAAUUAUUUUUUUUUAGAGACAAGAUCUCUGUUGCCCAGGCUGUCCUCGAACUCCUGGGCUCAAGCAGUCCUCCCAUGUCAGCCUCUAGAGCAGCUGGAACUAUUCGACACACACCACCACGCCCAACGAAGUGAAUAUUUUAUAUACCAGCUGGCCGGUAUUACACCAUUCCAUCCCAAAUCUCCCCUCCAAACUUGGUGAAAAUCAUCUGGCCAUUUUUACAGAUUAGUACGAAAGCAAACAAGCUCUCACUCUGUAUGCCCCCAGCACGAGGCUGUCCACACGGAGCCUUUGGACGAGCUGUACGAGGGGCUGGCAGAGACUCUGAUGGUCAAGGAGUCCACCCAGGGCCACCGGAGCUAUUUGCUGGUAUGAGAAGGGCACCCUCCUCCCCCUCACAGCCCAGAUACCCUUCCUGCACAGAAAAAGUGAAAACGUGGGUGUGGGUUCAAAUCCUGACUCACCCAUUCUGCAGUCUUAGACAUGAGGUCCAUUAACCUUCUUUAGCCUCAGUUUCCCUGUCUGUAAAUCAAGCACUUCAACAACAACAGCAUGUCUCGUGGGGUUGUUGGGCAUUUGUCCAAUAGGUGACACACACUACCUGCUUCACAAGGACCU